Molecule: ribosomal RNA, 38 nt
Filed under: Ammannia aspera
Lineage: Eukaryota; Viridiplantae; Streptophyta; Magnoliopsida; Myrtales; Lythraceae
Description: partial 18S ribosomal RNA
Source: RNAcentral
UCGAAUCCUGCACGGGCAGAACGACCUGUGAACAAGUA